RNAcentral lists this ribosomal RNA (253 nucleotides) under uncultured bacterium. RNAcentral describes it as "partial 16S ribosomal RNA". It matches the Rfam family "Bacterial small subunit ribosomal RNA", at positions 524 to 776 of the family's 1533-position model. The record is from RNAcentral.
UACGGGGGGGGCAAGCGUUGUUCGGAAUUACUGGGCGUAAAGGGCGCGUAGGCGGGCAACUAAGUCGGAUGUGAAAUCCCCAGGCUUAACCUGGGAACUGCAUCCGAUACUGGAUGGCUUGAAUCCGGGAGAGGGAUGCGGAAUUCCAGGUGUAGCGGUGAAAUGCGUAGAUAUCUGGAGGAACACCGGUGGCGAAGGCAGCAUCCUGGACCAAUUCUGACGCUGAGGCGCGAAAGCCAGGGGAGCAAACAGG